UACGGAGGGUGCGAGCGUUAAUCGGAAUUACUGGGCGUAAAGGGUGCGUAGGUGGAUAGACAAGUUAGAUGUGAAAGUUCUGGGCUCAACCUAGGAAUUGCAUUUAAAACUGUUUGUCUAGAGUACAGUAGAGGAUAGUGGAAUUUCCGGUGUAGCGGUGAAAUGCGUAGAUAUUGGAAGGAACAUCAGUUGCGAAGGCGGCUAUCUGGACUGAUACUGACACUGAGGCACGAAAGCGUGGGUAGCAAACAGG
Molecule: unclassified non-coding RNA, 253 nt
Filed under: uncultured Gammaproteobacteria bacterium
Lineage: Bacteria; Pseudomonadati; Pseudomonadota; Gammaproteobacteria
Description: contains 16S-23S intergenic spacer region
Rfam family: Bacterial small subunit ribosomal RNA
Source: RNAcentral